Molecule: ribosomal RNA, 271 nt
Filed under: uncultured archaeon
Lineage: Archaea
Description: partial 16S ribosomal RNA
Rfam family: Archaeal small subunit ribosomal RNA
Source: RNAcentral
CAGCGCCACAAGUGGCAAUCACGAUUAUUGGGCCUAAAGCGUUCGUAGCCGGUUUAGUAAAUCUUUUGUGAAAUCGUACAGCUCAACUGUACGGCGUGCAGGAGACACUGCUAAACUAGAGACCGGGAGGAGUCAGAGGUAUGCUGGGGGGACCGGUAAAAUGGGAUAAUCCUCAGUAGACCACCGAUGGCGAAGGCAUCUGACCAGAACGGAUCUGACGGUGAGGGACGAAAGCUAGGGGAGCGAACCGGAUUAGAUACCCGUGUAGUCC